UUGAUGCAAGGAGUUCAAGAUGAAUUCUCUAAUCUAUUCUUUAAUUUUCUAUUUAUAUUAUUCAUAUUAAUUUCACGCUUGGAGUUGGUUACUGCGUUAUCUGGGCCAAAUGAAUGCUCGAGAAUUGUGCGAAAAUCAAAACCCAGAUACACGUCGUGCGAAUUUUUUGGAUGGAGCCGAUGCAGAGGAUCUGUUUACUACUUUGCAACCGAAAAGUAUUGCUGUGAAGGCUGGAAGGCAGACAGCAAUGGAUCCUGCACAAUACCCGCAAAUGCAUGAUUUAAACAAGACGGACGGCGUCGAUUCAUCUGAAUGCACAGAACAAGACGUUGAAGACGCCGAAUAAUAUAAACAAACAAAAACAUUAAACGUGAUUAACCUUUCAGAUGUGUAAUUUAACUAUAACAUGUUUAACAAAUAAUUGCCGUAACGUAUAUAACGAAAUAAACACAACAUGUUUUCUAAGAAUUCAAUUGUAAUAACAUGUGAAAUAAUUACUUUUACAUUUCAUAGUUUGUAUGCAUUUAAUAUUAGUUGAAUAAAUUUUUGAAAAUGCA
Mya arenaria is the source of this 557-nucleotide long non-coding RNA. RefSeq lists it as uncharacterized. NCBI's taxonomy places the organism in Eukaryota, Metazoa, Mollusca, Bivalvia, Myida, Myidae. The transcript has 4 exons. The record is from RefSeq and is a predicted model, not a curated record.